This 484-nucleotide ribosomal RNA is filed under the name uncultured bacterium. Its description in RNAcentral is "partial 16S ribosomal RNA". It matches the Rfam family "Bacterial small subunit ribosomal RNA", at positions 30 to 507 of the family's 1533-position model. The record is from RNAcentral.
AUUGAACGCUGGCGGCAGGCCUAACACAUGCAAGUCGAGCGGAAGAAGGGUACUUGCACCUGGAUUCAGCGGCGGACGGGUGUGUAAUGCCUAGGAAUCUGCCUGGUAGUGGGGGAUAACGUCCGGAAACGGGCGCUAAUACCGCCUACGUCCUGAGGGAGAAAGUGGGGGAUCUUCGGACCUCUCGCUCUCAGAUGAGCCGAGGUCGGAUUAGCUAGUUGGUGGGGUAAAGGCCUACCAAGGCGACGAUCCGUAACUGGUCUGAGAGGAUGACCAGUCACACUGGGACUGAGACACGGUCCAGACUCCUACGGGAGGCAGCAGUGGGGAAUAUUGGACAAUGGGCGAAAGCCUGAUCCAGCCAUGCCGCGUGUGUGAAGAAGGUCUUCGGAUUGUAAAGCACUUUUAGUUGGGAGGAAGAGCAGUUAGUUAAUACCUUGCUGUUUUGACGUUACCUGCAGAAUAAGCACCGGCUAACUUCGUG